GCCUGGAUGGCCGAGCGGUCUAAGGCGGCAGACUUAAGUUCUGUUAUCUUCGGAUGCGUGGGUUCGAAUCCCACUUCAGGCA
This 82-nucleotide transfer RNA is filed under the name Delftia acidovorans. It matches the Rfam family "tRNA". Rfam says of the family: Transfer RNA (tRNA) molecules are approximately 80 nucleotides in length. Lineage: Bacteria; Pseudomonadati; Pseudomonadota; Betaproteobacteria; Burkholderiales; Comamonadaceae. The record is from RNAcentral. RNAcentral also lists the same sequence under 5 other names.